RNAcentral lists this long non-coding RNA (544 nucleotides) under Brassica rapa (field mustard). RNAcentral's name for it is "long non-coding RNA (BRAP_LNC006154)". Lineage: Eukaryota; Viridiplantae; Streptophyta; Magnoliopsida; Brassicales; Brassicaceae. The record is from RNAcentral.
GAAUCUUUAGUCUCCAUCAUUUUACCUUAUGGUAACAAGAACUUCAAAGCUGAUCUCUUUGCCUUGGUCAUCUAAAAAUAUGUAUCAGUAUGAUAGAGAAGCAUUGCUAGCAUCUGAUAUGGGUCUGAAGCUAAACAGACAACCUACUGAGUUUUUCUGUAAGACGCUUACAGCGAGUGACACCAGCACUCACGGUGGGUUCUCUGUACCACGCCGUGCAGCUGAGAAAAUCUUCCCUCCUCUUGUACGCCUCUGACCAAAAAAGGCUACUCUUAAAAAUUGUUUUCGUCUCUUAUGCUUUUACUGAAGUUCUGAGGAUAUGCAUGAAACAGGACUUCUCCAUGCAACCACCUGCACAAGAGAUUGUAGCUAAAGAUUUACACGACACUACAUGGACCUUCAGACAUAUCUACCGAGGUAUGAAUCCAUAUCAAGAAAUUGGUUUAUAAAAACUCGAAAUCUGAUUAGUUGUCUGAUCACAGGCCAACCAAAAAGACAUUUGCUCACCACAGGCUGGAGCGUUUUCGUUAGCACAAAGAGACUA